Molecule: ribosomal RNA, 119 nt
Filed under: Pteropus alecto (black flying fox)
Lineage: Eukaryota; Metazoa; Chordata; Mammalia; Chiroptera; Pteropodidae
Source: RNAcentral
UCCUACAGCCAUGCCACCCUGAACAAGCCCAAUCCUGUCUGAUCUCAGAAGCUAAGCAGGGUCGGGCCUGGUUAGUACUUGGAUGGGAGACCACCUAGGAAGACCAAGUGCUGGAGGCG